This is a non-coding RNA of Thamnophis sirtalis, 316 nucleotides long. Lineage: Eukaryota; Metazoa; Chordata; Lepidosauria; Squamata; Natricidae. The record is from RefSeq and is a predicted model, not a curated record.
AAAGGAAAGUGGAAGACGGAAUUUAAUCCCAAGCACACACAAGAAGCAGACUUUUGGACCAGUAAGGAGCACCGCAAAAAAGUGCAAAUGAUGGUUCAAAUGGGCAGAUUUAAUUAUGCUAAAAUAACAAACCCACCAAUGGAAGUCCUUGAGAUGCCCUAUGACAAGAAAGAGCUAGGUAUGGUCAUCCUUCUACCGGACGAGAAUGGAACCACAAAAGAGAUUGCGAGGCAACUCACUUAUGAAAAAUUUCGAGAGUGGACCAGUUCAACAGGCAUGCAGAACACAUCGAUCAGGGUUUCCCUGCCAAAAUUCA